UUUAAAUGCAACCAUAAGUUUCCGCACCUAACUUUGAUCAUCCGUCUUAUUUGAAAAAAUUUUAUAAUUAGUAUUUUUGUUGUUAUGAGAUAAUAAAACAUAAAUAGUACUUUAUUCGUGACUUAUGUUUUUAAUUUUUUUAAAUAAGACGGACAGUCAAAGUUGGUCGCGGAAAACCAUAGCUGCACUGAAA
Molecule: microRNA precursor, 193 nt
Organism: Oryza sativa Japonica Group (Japanese rice)
Lineage: Eukaryota; Viridiplantae; Streptophyta; Magnoliopsida; Poales; Poaceae
Rfam family: MIR812 microRNA precursor family
Source: Rfam